This 72-nucleotide transfer RNA is filed under the name Patescibacteria group bacterium. RNAcentral's name for it is "tRNA-Arg". It matches the Rfam family "tRNA". Rfam says of the family: Transfer RNA (tRNA) molecules are approximately 80 nucleotides in length. Their secondary structure includes four short double-helical elements and three loops (D, anti-codon, and T loops). The record is from RNAcentral.
GGGCUCGUAGUUUAAUGGAUAAAAUGUCCGGUUUCGGCCCGGUCGAUGGGGGUUCGAUUCCCUCCGGGCCCA